UACGGGGGGGGCAAGCGUUGUUCGGAAUUACUGGGCGUAAAGGGCUCGUAGGUGGCCAACUAAGUCGGACGUGAAAUCCCUCAGCUUAACUGGGGAACUGCGUCCGAUACUGGAUGGCUUGAGUUUGGGAGAGGGAUGCGGAGUUCCAGGUGUAGCGGUGAAAUGCGUAGAUAUCUGGAGGAACACCGGUGGCGAAGGCGGCAUCCUGGACCAACACUGACACUGAGGAGCGAAAGCCAGGGGAGCAAACGGG
RNAcentral lists this ribosomal RNA (253 nucleotides) under uncultured bacterium. RNAcentral's name for it is "partial 16S ribosomal RNA". It matches the Rfam family "Bacterial small subunit ribosomal RNA", at positions 524 to 776 of the family's 1533-position model. The record is from RNAcentral.